RNAcentral lists this ribosomal RNA (386 nucleotides) under uncultured bacterium. Its description in RNAcentral is "bacterial SSU rRNA". It matches the Rfam family "Bacterial small subunit ribosomal RNA", at positions 28 to 417 of the family's 1533-position model. The record is from RNAcentral.
GACGAACGCUGGCGGCGUGCUUAACACAUGCAAGUCGAGCGGAAAGGCCCUUUCGGGGGUACUCGAGCGGCGAACGGGUGAGUAACACGUGAGUAAUCUGCCCUUGGCUUUGGGAUAACCACCGGAAACGGUGGCUAAUACCGGAUAUGACGGGCUCCGGCAUCGGGGUUCGUGGAAAGUUUUUCGGCCAGGGAUGUGCUCGCGGCCUAUCAGCUUGUUGGUGGGGUAAUGGCCUACCAAGGCUUCGACGGGUAGCCGGCCUGAGAGGGUGACCGGCCACACUGGGACUGAGACACGGCCCAGACUCCUACGGGAGGCAGCAGUGGGGAAUAUUGGACAAUGGGCGGAAGCCUGAUCCAGCAACGCCGCGUGAGGGAUGACGGCCU